CAGUAUUCCGAAAGAUGGUCUGUCAUUGAAGAGAAAUGAAGUAAAUUGUUGUGAACGUAUUUGCCACGGAUAAUACAGUAUGCUGUUUUUGGAUAUCAAUCCUCUAUCUUAAGAAUUCGUUGGAUAAACAUCAGAGCGAAAAAAUCAAUGACAAAAGUUAGCCAAAAGUUGAGUGAAUAUUUUGAUGCGUCGAUUGAAUUUUGCAACGGAGACUUAAAUCAUUGAAGAUAUUUCCCCUAAGAAUGUUUUGUCAAAUUGUCAAACAUUUAUGAUAAAGCUAAUUCAGAUAUGCUCAUAGAAUAAUUUAUUAUUUAGUUUUUUAGUAUUUUUAGUCUUGUGUAAUUCUGGUUUUUAAAUUGUAAUUUAUCUCGUAGUUUGUUAGUUUGAGGGCCACAAGUUUUUCACACUUGUUGUGUCACGUGUUACCCUCUUUUAAUAAAGUUUAAUCAAUCAAUCAGUAAAA
Long non-coding RNA from Xenia sp. Carnegie-2017, 463 nucleotides. RefSeq lists it as uncharacterized. The transcript has 2 exons. NCBI's taxonomy places the organism in Eukaryota, Metazoa, Cnidaria, Anthozoa, Malacalcyonacea, Xeniidae. The record is from RefSeq and is a predicted model, not a curated record.